This 3034-nucleotide long non-coding RNA is filed under the name Marmota monax (woodchuck). The record is from RNAcentral. Lineage: Eukaryota; Metazoa; Chordata; Mammalia; Rodentia; Sciuridae.
GAACUUUCAUCAUACCCAGAAAAUUACACCAGAGCCUGGCAUAGAACAUUUAUUUAAAAAAGUGAUAAAUAGAAAAUAUGGAAAUUGUGUCCUUGACUAUUUACAACAGAAGAAAGUAUGGGAUAGUAUAGGUGAGAGUGAAAUUCAGAAAUUAUACUAUAAAGGACAAGAAAAAUUAGUGGUGACUGUCCAUAAUGAAAAUUUUACUGUCAGUAGGCCUCAAGAACGUUUAAUACCUCAGAAAAGAAUUCAAUAUAUAACUGAAGGACAAGUUUCUAAAAGUGAUCACUUUGAAAAAUUUUUAAAAAAUGAUCCAUUAUUCAGAAGUGAACAAAAAAUUCCUUCUUGUGCCCAAACAUAUACUUUUAAUGAUUGUGGCAAGGCCUCUGUGUACUCAUUACUGCUUAAUCAAAACUCAAACAUAGAAUUCUGGAAAGUAUGGAACACGCAUAAUGAAACAAGAAACACCUUUAGCCAGGUUUCCACUCUAAACAAUUACCAGUGUACUUAUAUUGGAGAAAAAAUUUAUAAAUAUAGAAAAACACAGAAGAACUCUAGCUCUGGUUGCAAUAUGAGAGAACAUCAGUGUGGCCAUUGUGCACAGAACCCUUUCAGAAAUGACAAAUGUGGGAACGUCUUUCCUCAGUGCUCAAAGCUUAUGACCCAUCCAAGUACUCAGGGCCAAGAGGCACCUUGCAAAUGUGAGGAAUGUGAGAGAGCUUCUAAUCCAGCUGCUAGCCUUCCUCAAUACAGUGGAGCACAUUCUGGAAGGGAGCCCCCCAAAUUUAAGGAAUGUGUCCAAGCAUGGAGUUGCUCACCCCUUUCUAAACACCACAAGUUCCAUAGAAGUGAUCAACACUACAAAUUUAAAGAAUGUGGCAAAACUUUUAAUCAACAACCACCCCAAGUUAAGUACCACAGAAUUCAUACUGGAGAGAAUCCCUACAAGUGUGAAGAAUGUGGCAAAUGCUUUAAAAAUCACUCAACCCUUUUCAAACACCUGAGAUGGCAUAGCAGAGAGGAAACCUACAAAUGUAAAGAAUGUGGAAAAGUUUGUACGAGUUUUUCAACUCUUACUCAACACCAAACUAUUCACACAGGAGAGAAGCUCCACAAAUGUGAAGAGUGUGGCAAAAAUUUUACUCAAAGAGCAUACCUUACCCAACACAAGAGAAUUCACACAGGAGAGAAGCCCUACAAAUGUGAAACAUGUGGCAAAGCUUUUAAUCAAAGAUCACACCUUACUCAACACCAGAGACUUCAUACUGGAGAGAAGCCCUACAAAUGUGAAGAAUGUGGCAAAGCUUUUAUAGAUCAUUCAUACUUUACCAAACACCGGAGAAUUCAUACUGGAAAGCACCCCUACAAAUGUGAAGAAUGUGGCAAAGGUUUUAAUCAAAGUUCACACCUUACUCAGCACCAGAGUAUCCAUACUGGAGAGAAGCCCUACAAAUGUAAUGAAUGUGGGAAAGGCUUUAAUCUAAGAGCAUGUCUUACUCAACACCAGAAAGUUCAUACUGGAGAGAAGGCCUACAAAUGUGAAGAAUGUGGAAAAGCUUUUAUUCAAAGAGGGAACCUUAUACAACACCAGAGAAUUCAUACUGGAGAGAAGCCCUACAAAUGUAAUGAGUGUGGGAAAUGUUUUACUCUAAGAACAUGUGUUAUUCGACACCAGAGAAUUCAUACAGGAGAGAAGCCCUACAAAUGUGAAGAAUGUGGCAAAGAUUUUAAACUAAGGGCAUGCCUUAUUCAACACCAGAGAUUUCAUACUAAAGAGAAGCCCUACACAUGUCAAGAAUGUGGGAAAAAUUUUAAUCUAAGAGCAUGCCUUACUCGACACCAGAAAAUUCAUACUGGAGAGAAGCCCUACAAAUGUAAUGAAUGUGGCAAAGCUUUUAACCGAAGAUCUCGACUUACAAUUCACCAGAGACUUCAUACUGGAGAGAAGCCCUACAAAUGUGAAGAAUGUGGCAAAACUUUUAAUCGAAACUCAAAUCUCACAAAACACCAGAGAAUUCACACUGGAGAGAGGCCCUACAAAUGUGAAGAAUGUGGGAAAGGUUUUACUCAAAAAUCAUGCCUUAGUCGACACCAGAGAGUUCAUACUGGAGAGAAGCCCUACAAAUGUGAAAAAUGUGGGAAAAGUUUUAAUCUAAAAGCACAUCUUACUCGAUACCAGAGAGUUCAUACUGGAGAGAAGCCCUAAAAUGUGAAAAAUUUGGGAAAGGUCUCUCUCAGAGAGUGCAUUAUUCGACACCAAAGAAUUCAUGCAGGAGAGAGACUGUACAAAUGUGAAGAAUGUAUGAAAGAUUUUACUCAAAGAACAUGCCUUAUUUGACACUGGAAAAUUCAUAUUGGAGAAGCCCUUUAUAUGUGAAGAAUGUAAGAAAAGAUUUAAUCUAGGAGCAUGCUUUGUUCAACAUCAGAGAAAUAAAAAUGGGGACAGACAAUGCAAGUGUAAACACUGUUGCAGACCUUUUAGCAAUUGCUAAAAACAUUAUUACUCACUGGAGACUUCAGAGUGCAUAAAAACCCUGAACAAUGUAAAUACUGUGCCUAACGAAUUUCAAUUUUUUUUAACAUUAGAAACCAGAUACCUAUAGGGAAUGUGGAAAGACAUUUGCCUGAAAUACAUGCCUUAAAUAACAGCAAAAUAUCUUUAAUGGAGAAAACACAUUAGAAAUAUAAAAAAUAUAGCAAAGUCCUCAUCUGUAAGUCAUAUCAUGAUGUAUGUGGGAAAGAAAUUAGGAAUUGCCUUUAAGUUUUGUUAAAAUUUAUUAUAAGCUGAUGUGGUUAAAAAUAAAGAAAUUCUCACAAGUAUCAUAGAAUAGUGCAGUAAACUAAUCUCUGAAAAGAUAUGAAUAUAUUAUAAAUCAAAGAUUACUCAAUAUUCUAACUUUUGAAAACUGGAGAAAAAAAUUUCAAACAUAGAUCAUUUUAUGAGAAGUCUUUUCCUGAGAGUUAAUAUAUAUUUUUGAGACUUUACAGUGUAUUUUGAAAUACUUUAUUAACAUUUUAUAUGCAUUUGGUUACU